CUGGAAUGAUUCUUGGCUCAAACCUAUAUGGCCCCUGGAUUGGACUGCGGCCGAUCAGGCUGUUGGUGAGGUAAUGGCCCACCAAACCUAUUACCGGUACGGGCUCUGAGAGGAGGAGCCCGGAGAUGGGCACUGAGACAAGGGCCCAGGCCCUAUGGGGCGCAGCAGGCGCGAAACCUCUGCAAUAGGCGAAAGCUUGACAGGGUUACUCUGAGUGAUUUCCGCUAAGGGAAUCUUUUGGCACCUCUAAAAAUGGUGCAGAAUAAGGGGUGGGCAAGUCUGGUGUCAGCCGCCGCGGUAAUACCAGCACCCCGAGUGGUCGGGACGAUUAUUGGGCCUAAAGCAUCCGCAGCCGGUCCUGCAAGUCUUCCGUUAAAUCCAGCUGCUCAACAGAUGGGCUGCGGGAGAUACUACAGGGCUAGGAGGCGGGAGAGGCAAGCGGUACUUUAUGGGUAGGGGUAAAAUCCGCUGAUCCAUAGAAGACCACCAGUGGCGAAGGCGGCUUGCCAGAACGCGCUCGACGGUGAGGGAUGAAAGCUGGGGGAGCAAACCGGAUUAGAUACCCGGGUAGUCCCAGCUGUAAACGAUGCAGACUCGGUGAUGGGUCGGCCUCGCGCCUGCCCAGUGCCGCAGGGAAGCCGUUAAGUCUGCCGCCUGGGGAGUACGGUCGCAAGACUGAAACUUAAAGGAAUUGGCGGGGGAGCACCACAAGGGGUGAAGCCUGCGGUUCAAUUGGACUCAACGCCGGU
This 749-nucleotide ribosomal RNA is filed under the name uncultured archaeon. Its description in RNAcentral is "bacterial SSU rRNA". It matches the Rfam family "Archaeal small subunit ribosomal RNA", at positions 170 to 922 of the family's 1478-position model. The record is from RNAcentral.